Molecule: ribosomal RNA, 396 nt
Filed under: uncultured bacterium
Lineage: Bacteria
Description: partial 16S ribosomal RNA
Rfam family: Bacterial small subunit ribosomal RNA
Source: RNAcentral
AUACGUAGGUGGCAAGCGUUGUCCGGAAUUAUUGGGCGUAAAGCGCAUGUAGGCGGUAAUUUAAGUCUGUCGUGAAACUGCGGGGCUCAGCCCCGUAUGGCGGUGGAAACUGGGUUACUUGAGUGCAGGAGAGGAAAGGGGGACUCUCAGGGUAGCGGGGAAAUGCGUAGAUAUUGGGAAGAACACCGGUGGCGAAGGCGCCUUUCUGGACUGUGUCUGACGCUGAGAUGCGAAAGCCAGGGUAGCGAACGGGAUUAGAUACCCCGGUAGUCCUGGCCGUAAACGAUGGGUACUAGGUGUGGGAGGUAUCGACCCCUUCCGUGCCGGAGUUAACGCAAUAAGUACCCCGCCUGGGGAGUACGGCCGCAAGGCUUAAACUCAAAGGAAUUGACGGGG